GUAGGGAGGGAUGGAGGAUCUAACAUGGUAGACCUGAUAGAGAGAUGGAGGAUCUAACAUGAGAGAUGGAGGGAGGGAUGGAUGGAGGAUCUAACAUGGUAGACCUGAUAGAGAGACGGAUGGAGGGAUGGAGGACCUGAUAGAGAGACGGAUAUGUAAUAUUCCCAGAACUGUGAACCCCUGAGCUUGCCUGGGUUAAUGGACCGAUAUAAUAUUCCCAGAACUGUGAACCCGCCCAUCUGGUACUCCAGGCAGGCUAGAGCAAAACGCUCAACGGGAUUUGAAAGAUUUAGAAUAGUAUUUAAACCCAUGUCUGAGAGAGAGAGAGAGAGAGAGAGAGAGAGAGAGAGAAAAAAAAAGGUGGAAAAGAAAAAAACAGACUUCUAACAUGGUAGACCGCUGAGGAAGACGGGUAGUAUGAGAGGUACGAUGUGUUUGUAUAAAGGACUUCACCACUGCGAGUAACACUUCCUCCCGAUUCGGCUCGUACCUGGCGCGAACUCAGGACCUCUGCCUUUCUAGCACAUGUGGCUGCCCUCCUGAAUCGCCUUACUAGUCGGUGCCACACAAAGAAAACCUAGUGUUUGUGUUUGUAUGCGUGUUGUGUUGUGUUGUGUUGUGUCUCCCAGGGUGUCCAGUCUACCAUCUGGCCCCAGCCAUCUCCAGGACUGAGCAACAGGGCACCAGGGGUGAUGGCCGGGUCCUUCCCCCAGACAGAGGGCCCAUGGCUGGGCAACCAUCUGUGGUUUGGUGGCCUCUAGGCUGGAGGUCACUGGGUCUCUCCAGGGGCACAGAAAUACAGGGAAACUACCUGAGGGGGAUCUUCCUGUACACACACACACACACACACACACACACACACACACACACACACACACACACACACACACACACACACACACACACACAUACAGACACCCCCACAUUA
RNAcentral lists this long non-coding RNA (928 nucleotides) under Salmo salar (Atlantic salmon). Its description in RNAcentral is "lncRNA (ENSSSAG00000114880.1)". Lineage: Eukaryota; Metazoa; Chordata; Actinopteri; Salmoniformes; Salmonidae. The record is from RNAcentral.